RNAcentral lists this small RNA (112 nucleotides) under Microcebus murinus (gray mouse lemur). RNAcentral describes it as "Y RNA (ENSMICG00000020045.3)". Lineage: Eukaryota; Metazoa; Chordata; Mammalia; Primates; Cheirogaleidae. The record is from RNAcentral.
GGCCGGUCCCAAGGUAGCACGUUAUCACAAUUGAUUGCUCACAGUUACAGAUCACAAAACUCUUUGCUCUACUCUGUCCUUCCCUCUCACUACGGCACUAGACUAGUCUAAA